Molecule: ribosomal RNA, 572 nt
Filed under: Salmonella enterica
Lineage: Bacteria; Pseudomonadati; Pseudomonadota; Gammaproteobacteria; Enterobacterales; Enterobacteriaceae
Description: partial 23S ribosomal RNA
Rfam family: Bacterial large subunit ribosomal RNA
Source: RNAcentral
GUUAAGUUGCAGGGUAUAGACCCGAAACCCGGUGAUCUAGCCAUGGGCAGGUUGAAGGUUGGGUAACACUAACUGGAGGACCGAACCGACUAAUGUUGAAAAAUUAGCGGAUGACCUGUGGCUGGGGGUGAAAGGCCAAUCAAACCGGGAGAUAGCUGGUUCUCCCCGAAAGCUAUUUAGGUAGCGCCUCGUGAAUUCAUCUCCGGGGGUAGAGCACUGUUUCGGCUAGGGGGCCAUCCCGGCUUACCAACCCGAUGCAAACUGCGAAUACCGGAGAAUGUUAUCACGGGAGACACACGGCGGGUGCUAACGUCCGUCGUGAAGAGGGAAACAACCCAGACCGCCAGCUAAGGUCCCAAAGUCAUGGUUAAGUGGGAAACGAUGUGGGAAGGCCCAGACAGCCAGGAUGUUGGCUUAGAAGCAGCCAUCAUUUAAAGAAAGCGUAAUAGCUCACUGGUCGAGUCGGCCUGCGCGGAAGAUGUAACGGGGCUAAACCAUGCACCGAAGCUGCGGCAGCGAACGUAUCACCCAAGACAACUUUACGGAGUUGACGAUUGACGGAGCGAAGCGAC